Molecule: ribosomal RNA, 407 nt
Filed under: uncultured bacterium
Lineage: Bacteria
Description: partial 16S ribosomal RNA
Rfam family: Bacterial small subunit ribosomal RNA
Source: RNAcentral
GACGAACGCUAGCGGGAUGCCUUACACAUGCACGUCGAACGGAGCGGCGAACGGGUGAGUAAUGCCUAGGAACCUGCCCAGUAGUGGGGGAUAACUUCGGGAAACCGGAGCUAAUACCGCAUACUAUUAGAACAGCCGAGAGCGGAUUGGCUAGUUGGUGGGGUAACGGCUCACCAAGGCGACUAUCCGUAUAUGGUCUGAGAGGAUGAGCAGCCACACUGGUACGUAGACACGGCCCAGACUCCUACGGGAGGCAGCAGUGGGGAAUUGUGGACAAUGGGUGAAACCCUGAUCCAGCCAUCCCGCGUGUGUGAUGAAGGUCUUCGGAUUGUAAAGCACUUUUAGUUGGAAGGCGGUACCAACAGAAUAAGCACCGGCUAACUUCGUGCCAGCCGCCGCGGUAAUAC